AAUACGUUCUCAAGUCUUGUACUCACCGCCCGUCAACUCAAGGGAGAUGGGAGUACCCGAAGGCUCACGUAAGUGGGACCACGGUAAACUCAUUGACAGGGAGU
RNAcentral lists this ribosomal RNA (104 nucleotides) under uncultured bacterium. RNAcentral describes it as "partial 16S ribosomal RNA". The record is from RNAcentral.